UACGUAGGGUGCAAGCGUUAAUCGGAAUUACUGGGCGUAAAGCGUGCGCAGGCGGUUUUGUAAGUCUGACGUGAAAUCCCCGGGCUCAACCUGGGAAUUGCGUUGGAGACUGCAAGGCUAGAAUCUGGCAGAGGGGGGUAGAAUUCCACGUGUAGCAGUGAAAUGCGUAGAGAUGUGGAGGAACACCGAUGGCGAAGGCAGCCCCCUGGGUCAAG
This 215-nucleotide ribosomal RNA is filed under the name uncultured bacterium. RNAcentral describes it as "partial 16S ribosomal RNA". It matches the Rfam family "Bacterial small subunit ribosomal RNA", at positions 524 to 738 of the family's 1533-position model. The record is from RNAcentral.